Molecule: ribosomal RNA, 484 nt
Filed under: uncultured bacterium
Lineage: Bacteria
Description: partial 16S ribosomal RNA
Rfam family: Bacterial small subunit ribosomal RNA
Source: RNAcentral
AUUGAACGCUGGCGGCAGGCCUAACACAUGCAAGUCGAGCGGAUGAAGGGAGCUUGCUCCUGGAUUCAGCGGCGGACGGGUGAGUAAUGCCUAGGAAUCUGCCUGGUAGUGGGGGAUAACGUCCGGAAACGGGCGCUAAUACCGCAUACGUCCUGAGGGAGAAAGUGGGGGAUCUUCGGACCUCACGCUAUCAGAUGAGCCUAGGUCGGAUUAGCUAGUUGGUGGGGUAAAGGCCUACCAAGGCGACGAUCCGUAACUGGUCUGAGAGGAUGAUCAGUCACACUGGAACUGAGACACGGUCCAGACUCCUAAGGGAGGCAGCAGUGGGGAAUAUUGGACGAUGGGCGAAAGCCUGAUCCAGCCAUGCCGCGUGUGUGAAGAAGGUCUUCGGAUUGUAAAGCACUUUAAGUUGGGAGGAAGGGCAGUAAGUUAAUACCUUGCUGUUUUGACGUUACCAACAGAAUAAGCACCGGCUAACUUCGUG